Molecule: long non-coding RNA, 1118 nt
Filed under: Mustela putorius furo (domestic ferret)
Lineage: Eukaryota; Metazoa; Chordata; Mammalia; Carnivora; Mustelidae
Description: lncRNA (ENSMPUG00000026179.1)
Source: RNAcentral
UGGAUCUCCAGGGAGUGGAGAGGAACCAGAGAUGAGUUCAAUCACCCGUGGCCAAAGUUUUAAUUAGUAAGGCCUGUGUAAUGAAGCCUCCAUAGAAACCCAAAAGGACUAGGUUCGGAGUUUCCAGCUUGAUGAACAAGAGUGCAUGGGUGUACCUCUGAGCAGGGCCCCAAAGUCAUCAGAGACAGAAACUCUUGUGCUCGGGACUUGUCCUGUGUAUCUCUUCAUCUGGCUGUUGAUUCAUAUCCUUUAAUAUCCUUUGUAAUAAACUGGUAAUCUAGUGGAUAAACAGAUUUUCUGAAUCCUGGGAGCCGCUCUCGACAAUUCCUCGAACCCAAGAAGAAGGUUGUGAGUAGCUCCGAUGUGUAGCCAGACUGUCCAUAGGACAGUUAACACAUGAGGUGUGGGACUGGCGUCUGAAGUGGGAAUGGUCUUAUGGGAGUGAGUCCUCAACCUUUGGGAUCCGAUGCUCUCUCCAGGUGAAUAGUGUCGAAACUGACUUGAACUGUAGGACACCCAGCUGAUGUAGAAGAGCUGCUUGCUGUGGAGAAAGAACCCACACAUCAAAACUGGUGUCACAAUCGGUCUAAUGUUAUUGAUGUAAUUGACACACACUCUCAGAGAUAGAAGAGUGAUUCCUAAAGAGGUAAAUGUGUUGCUUCUUUUCUAGGAAGAAGGUUAACUUGUGCUACAGCAUGUUAGCCAUAGGCAGACACAUUGAGAGAACAAAAAGAAAUAGGUGAGAAAAUACAUAGAAGGCAGAACUUGAGGAGCCAUGAGGAAAGCAGAGAUCGCCUGGAAGCUAAAGGAACUGGAAAGGCCAGAAUACGAAGACGGCAUCUAUCACCGUCAUGAAUGAAGGGCCUCGGCCUCUCCACAGCACGGACUGAGGAAACGCCCGGGCAUCCUGGGGAGGAGAGAGCCGGAAGAACCCUGCUCCUCGGUGACCAAGCAGCCACCUAGGGACAUCCCACCUAAAAACAGUCUCCACAGAACAUGAGAAGAAGAGGAGCUUCCCUCCCCGUCAGCAGGCAGCAGGCACAAAGGUAAGAGGUUAAGCGGUAGUACCUCCAGGAAUGUUUGAGGCUGUCACUGGAUCAGGACACCGCAUGGAUGCC